This 2220-nucleotide ribosomal RNA is filed under the name Triticum aestivum (bread wheat). Its description in RNAcentral is "partial small subunit ribosomal RNA". The record is from RNAcentral. Lineage: Eukaryota; Viridiplantae; Streptophyta; Magnoliopsida; Poales; Poaceae.
AUGGGGAGCCCCAAGCUUUUCUCCCUUCUCCCCUUCCUCUUGUUCGCCCUUGUCGCCGCCGGGGAGGCCGGGGACGAGCUCGGCACGUACGUCGUCCACGUUCAGCCCAAGGAGAACCACGUGUUCGGCACGACCGACGACCGGAAGGAGUGGCACCAGUCCUUCCUCCCCGAUAAUGGCCGUCUCCUCCACUCGUACCACCACGUCGCGAGCGGCUUCGCGGCGCGGCUGACGCGGCGGGAGCUCGACGCCGUCUCCGCCAUGCCCGGGUUCGUCGCCGCGGUGCCGGACGUGGUCUACCGCCUGCAGACGACGCACACCCCACGGUUCCUCGGGUUGAACACGGCGCUGGGCUAUAGGAACCCGUCCAUUGGGUCCGGCGACGGCGUCAUCAUCGGGGUGCUCGACACCGGCGUCUUCCCCAACCACCCCUCGUUCAGCGGCGAAGGAAUGCCGCCGCCGCCCGCCAAGUGGAAGGGCAGGUGCGACUUCAACGCCUCCGCGUGCAACAACAAACUCAUCGGUGCCCGGAGUUUCAUCAGUGAAGGUAGCUCUUCCGGCGGGCCUCCGACCGACGAGGAAGGGCACGGUACGCACACGUCAAGCACCGCGGCCGGAGCCCUCGUGCCGGGCGCUCAGGUGCUUGGCCAGGCCAAUGGCACCGCGUCCGGGAUGGCGCCCCGUGCGCACCUCGCCAUGUACAAGGUUUGCAGCGAGGACGGAUGCGCCAGCGUGGACAUCCUCGCCGGCAUCGACGCCGCCGUGUCCGACGGAUGCGACGUCCUCUCCAUGUCACUCGGCGGAGAGUCGGUGCCGUUCUACCACGACAGCAUCGCUGUCGGCACGUUCGCCGCGGCGGAGAAGGGCAUUUUCGUCAGUAUGGCCGCCGGCAACGCCGGCCCGAACUACACCACGCUGUCCAACGACGCACCAUGGAUGCUCACCGUCGCCGCGAGCACCAUGGACCGUUUGAUCAGCGCUAAAGUGAUCCUCGGAGAUGGUCUCUCCUUCGACGGCGAGUCGGUCUACCAGCCCGACUCCGUGGAGGCCCCGUUGGUGUACGCCGGCGCGAGCUCGACGCCCUUGGCCCAGUUCUGCGGCAACGGCUCGCUGGACGGCUUCGACGUCAAGAACAAGAUAGUGCUCUGCGAGCGUGGCAACGAUGUUGGGAGGGUUGACAAGGGCAUCGAGGUGCUAAGAGCCGGAGGCGCCGGCAUGAUUCUCAUCAAUGAGUUCAUCGACGGCUACAGCUUGCUCGCCGAUGCGCACGUCCUGCCGGCGUCGCAUGUCAGCUACGCCGCCGGAGUGGAGAUCAAGAACUACAUCAAGUCCACGCCCAACUGUACGGCUAAGAUCUCCUUCAGAGGCACGGUCCUCGGCACGUCGCCGGCGCCGGCGAUUACCUCCUUCUCCUCCCGUGGCCCCAGCACCCAGAACAUGGACAUUCUGAAGCCGGACAUCACUGGCCCUGGCGUCAGCGUGCUCGCCGCGUGGCCGUUCAAGGUAGGCCCGCCGACAUGGUAUAACGUGUCAACCGCGCCGACCUUCAACGUCAUCUCUGGUACGUCCAUGUCGACGCCGCACCUUGCUGGUAUCGCCGCGCUGAUCAAGAGCAAGCACCCUGACUGGUCGCCCGCCGCGAUCAAGUCCGCCAUCAUGACAACCGCCUACGUCACCGACCGCUCCGGCACGCCAAUCGUCAACGAGCAGCACAAGCCCGCCGACUUCUUCGCCAUGGGCGCCGGCCAUGUCAAUCCGGACAAGGCCGUGGACCCCGGCCUGGUCUACGACACUGCCACCGGCGACUACAUCGGCUUCCUCUGCGGCAUGUACACGGACCAGCAGGUCUCGGUGAUCGCGCGCCAGUCAGUCAACUGCUCGACCGUCCAGAAGAUCCCACAAAGCUUGCUGAACUACCCGUCGAUCUCGGUCUCGUUCGUGCCGGACUGGAGCCCCUUGGCCCCGGUGAUAGUGGAGCGCACGGUGAAGUACGUCGGACAGGCGGAGGCGGCCAUGUACCAGGCCCAUGUCGACAUGCCGGCGGGCAGCUUCGUGAACGUCACCGUUACUCCGGGCGUGCUCUGGUUCAGCCACGAGACGCCGGAGCAGAAAUUCACGGUGCUCGUGUUUCCGCUCAAUGCCAGCACAACGGCGGUGCAGGGCGCGAUUCGGUGGGUGUCAGACACCCACACCGUGAGGAGCCCCGUCUCGGCCAUGUUC